Molecule: long non-coding RNA, 839 nt
Organism: Sapajus apella (tufted capuchin)
Lineage: Eukaryota; Metazoa; Chordata; Mammalia; Primates; Cebidae
Exons: 3
Source: RefSeq, a predicted model, not a curated record
AAGGCUGCGGCGGACCCGGCUGAAUCGAGGAUUCUCAGCUAGAAAGCAGAUUUGGGAUCGCAGAUUGGGGGUUGGCGCCAGGUGGGGUUGGGAGGAGCCGCGGCUCAGGAGCUGGUUGUUGGGGAUCUGAGAAGAAGUCACCGCCUUGAAGAAGUUCCUCGGCCUCGGGAGCCAGGGGCCAAGGAAGAGCAGAACCUCAGGUCCCGGGCUCCAUAGACCCCGUGGACACUGCUUCCGGGCACCGAAUCCAGGGCGUGAAACCGCGGAAGAUCCACAGGGCGGCUGUCAGGCGCGAUACCGCUGAGGUGGAGCUGCCUGGUGCGCGGGAGCGGAGACCUGGACACCCGGGGCAGGCCACACAGCCGGUCCCUACUGAGAGCUCAUUCUGCGAUGAAAACUACCGGGAAUCAUUUUCAGCAGGCGAAAAUUUCUCAGAACAGCCCUCAUGCUUCCUGUACAUUAUGGCUCAUCAGGUAUUGUCAGUAUUUUUCUUCAGCAAAAUAUUAAUGUCUUUACUCAAGAUAUGUGUGUAUGAGAUGCAGGAGAUUAUGCUAUUUAUUGUGGUUUGACAAGGUAAGUGUUUGUAUUAAAAGGCCAGUUAAUACUAAAUUGAUGUUUAAAAUAGUUGCAACCAUUGAAUCUUAUACAUUAGGUGAGGGUUCAUAGUUUGGUUCAGGUCAUUUGAAAUAGCAAGAGUUAGUCCACUUUUUAGCUAGAAAUCAAGCAGAAGGCUAGAUUAGUUAGAAAUAGAAUGCAAGAUUCUUUCAGGACUUUUAAGACCUUUAUACCUAGGGAUUUCAAUGUGGUUUAUUUUAUUCUAAAUGUAAUCCCCAUGCAUC